RNAcentral lists this microRNA precursor (91 nucleotides) under Capitella teleta. Lineage: Eukaryota; Metazoa; Annelida; Polychaeta; Capitellidae. The record is from RNAcentral.
UAAAUGAACCAGCUUAGAUGGGUGAAAAUUUAGGCAGACUAUAUAUUAUAUAGUCUGCCUAAAUUUUCACCCAUCUAAGUAUUAGUUUAAA